Podarcis lilfordi (Lilford's wall lizard) is the source of this 73-nucleotide non-coding RNA. The record is from the annotation of a GenBank genome assembly. NCBI's taxonomy places the organism in Eukaryota, Metazoa, Chordata, Lepidosauria, Squamata, Lacertidae.
GCCGUAGCUCAAUGGUAGAGCAUCUGUUUGCAUGCAGAAGGCCCCAGGUUCAAGCCUUGGGAUUUCUUAGACU